Molecule: ribosomal RNA, 476 nt
Filed under: Veillonella atypica
Lineage: Bacteria; Bacillati; Bacillota; Negativicutes; Veillonellales; Veillonellaceae
Description: bacterial SSU rRNA
Rfam family: Bacterial small subunit ribosomal RNA
Source: RNAcentral
GGCGGCGUGCUUAACACAUGCAAGUCGAACGAAGAGCGAUGGAAGCUUGCUUCUAUCAAUUUAGUGGCGAACGGGUGAGUAACGCGUAAUCAACCUGCCCUUCAGAGGGGGACAACAGUUGGAAACGACUGCUAAUACCGCAUACGAUCCAAUCUGGCAUCGAGACUGGAUGAAAGGUGGCCUCUAUUUAUAAGCUAUCACUGAAGGAGGGGAUUGCGUCUGAUUAGCUAGUUGGAGGGGUAACGGCCCACCAAGGCGAUGAUCAGUAGCCGGUCUGAGAGGAUGAACGGCCACAUUGGGACUGAGACACGGCCCAGACUCCUACGGGAGGCAGCAGUGGGGAAUCUUCCGCAAUGGACGAAAGUCUGACGGAGCAACGCCGCGUGAGUGAUGACGGCCUUCGGGUUGUAAAGCUCUGUUAAUCGGGACGAAUGGUUCUUGUGCAAAUAGUGCGAGGAUUUGACGGUACCGGAAUA